CCUACGGGUGGCAGCAGUGGGGGAUAUUGCACAAUGGGGGAAACCCUGAUGCAGCGACGCCGCGUGGGUGACGAAGCGCCUCGGCGCGUAAAGCCCUGUCAGCAGGGAAGAAAAUGACGGUAACUGAAGAAGAAGCCCCGGUUAACUACGUGCCAGCAGCCGCGGUAAUACGUAGGGGGAAAGCGGUAGCAGGGUUUACUGGGGGUAAAGGGGGCGCAGACGGCGAUGCAAGCCAGGAGUGAAAGCCCGGGGCCCAACCCCGGGACUGCUCUUGGAACUGCGUGGCUAGAGUGCAGGAGGGGCAGGCUGAAUUCCUGGUGUAGCGGUGAAAUGCGUAGAUAUCAGGAGGAACACCGGUGGCGAAGGCGGCCUGCUGGACUGCAACUGACGUUGAGGCCCGAAAGCGUGGGGAGCAAACAGGAUUAGAUACCCCGGUAGUC
RNAcentral lists this ribosomal RNA (440 nucleotides) under uncultured bacterium. RNAcentral describes it as "partial 16S ribosomal RNA". It matches the Rfam family "Bacterial small subunit ribosomal RNA", at positions 338 to 795 of the family's 1533-position model. The record is from RNAcentral.